This 322-nucleotide ribosomal RNA is filed under the name uncultured eukaryote. Its description in RNAcentral is "partial 18S ribosomal RNA". It matches the Rfam family "Eukaryotic small subunit ribosomal RNA", at positions 1470 to 1796 of the family's 1831-position model. The record is from RNAcentral.
CCCUUAGAUGUUCUGGGCCGCACGCGUGCUACACUGAGUGGAUCAGCGGGUCAGGUUACGCGAGAGCGUUUCCUAAUCUUCAAAUCCGCUCGUGAUGGGGAUUGACGGUUGCAAUUUUCCGUCAUGAACGAGGAAUACCUUGUAAGCGCGGGUCAUCAUCCCGCGCUGAAUACGUCCCUGCCCUUUGUACACACCGCCCGUCGCUCCUACCGAUUGAGUGGUCCGGUGAGGCUUUGGGAUCUAAGCGAAAAGAGCGUUCCGCUCCUUUUGCUGGGAGAACUCAGUCGAACCUUAUCAUUUAGAGGAAGGAGAAGUCGUAACA